Molecule: long non-coding RNA, 1312 nt
Filed under: Equus caballus (horse)
Lineage: Eukaryota; Metazoa; Chordata; Mammalia; Perissodactyla; Equidae
Description: lncRNA (ENSECAG00000029135.3)
Source: RNAcentral
GAAGGACCUGGCCACCCACUUGUGAAAAAAUUGGCCACAAAAACCCUGUGAAUAGCAGCAGAGCAUUGUCUGAUACAGCACCAGGAGAGAGAUGGACUGGGGCAGCCCUGGAGUUGCAGUUCAGGAAUACAGAAGGUUCAGAUGUUCGGAAUGUCCGUGAAAGGCUGGCCCUGACCCGCCUGAUGUAGGGACAUGAUUCAUCUCCAGGCUCAAGCCCAUCAUUCAAAGAAAACACCGGAAGAGACUAGGUGUUCUGUGAAAUGGCGUAUUCCGAAGUCUCUGUCACUGAGAGAAGGAUGUAAGCGCAGGAUCAAAGCAUCAUCUUCAAAGAAGGAGCUGUGUGAUCUCUGUCUCUGAAAAUCUCCUCUGUUGACCUCUCAUCGAAGCCAACUUCCUCUGCUUAGUCAUCUUGCUUACUUCACCUAGCACAGUGCCAGUCCAGCUCUACAUCAUGAUCUCCAAGCUCCAGUAACUGCCACCAACUGACAACAGUCUCCAUAUCUCUUCUGGCAAACUCUCACAUGGAAGAGACUUUUCAGACCAUAUCAUGCUUUUCUCACAAUGGAGCAGCAGCUUUGGGUUGGAGAAGGGUCAUGGGGUAUAGAGGAGUGCAGAAUAGAUCCUUUAGAAGGGGCCAUGGAUGGGGCAGACAAUGAGACCUAUUUAUUAUAUCCUCGCUUAUCUAUGUUUCCAUCACAAUCUGUAUCAUGCUUUAUGAUCUAGUCUAGGAUACACAAGAGGGCGGGUAAUCAUAGCAGUGAAUCACUGUGUAGAGUGUGGUGUCUGCUCUAAAUGGGUUUAUAAUCUGGUUGAUGAGAUAAGACACAGCCCAAGAAAAGGAAACGAGUCAUACCAGGCAGUGCCUGAUGAGCAUCAGAUGACUAGCACAGACACUAGGGGUUUUUAAAGAGUUAGAGAAGGGAGAGAUCAUUGUGGGUAAGAAAGUUCAAGGAGGAUUUCCCAAGAGAGGUGGGGACAGAAGUGGGUCUUGAGGGAUGGGAAGGAUUCGGAGAGAAAGGGGAGAGGAGAGGCUUUCUAGAUUGGAGUGGAGGAGGGGAGAGUGGGAAUGCAUGAUGCAUGUUCAGGGCACAAUGAAUAGGCCAACGUGUUCUGGGCGCAAGAUGUGUGUUGAAAAGUACUAGAAGCUAAGACAGGAAAAGAAGGGAGAAACAAAAUUGUGUAUGACCUUGAAUACCAAACUAAAUAUUUUGGAUUUGAUUUUGAACAUUUUAUUAAUGAGGUUUGAGCAGGGCUUGGCAUGGUCAGGGCAGUGCUCUAGGACGACCCACUGAAGUGAAGUAUGCCAGAGGCC